Molecule: long non-coding RNA, 1237 nt
Organism: Lepisosteus oculatus (spotted gar)
Lineage: Eukaryota; Metazoa; Chordata; Actinopteri; Semionotiformes; Lepisosteidae
Source: RefSeq, a predicted model, not a curated record
ACAAGCAGGAAGCAGUGCGGGGAUAGAAGUAGCGAUGAGACCGCAGCCCAAUAAGCUCGAGAUUUCUUCGGUGCAAUGUGUGCCAUCAGGGCCCAAAAUAACAUGUCAGUAGACAGGGCAAUACCUACUGGAAAGUGAGACCUUUACUGCACGAAUGAAAAGGGAAGAAGAGCCAUGAAACUGGAGAACGAAGACUUCCACAUUUUGUACACAAAGAAUCAUCCUUUCCUGUCUUGAAAAAUUCUGAUUCCAGUUUGGUUGUGAAACACAUAUCAGCUGAGGACCAAUAUUGAAUGAUGAUUGGACAAGCUACUGCGGCAUAACAGACUUCACCGGAGUAGAGUGAGGGUCCAACAGGGUUUUGGCUCUAAUAAGCCUGUUGCUGAUAUUAAAGAGUAUUUGUGUUUUUAUAGUAUUUUGUGCACCAUUAAACCCCUGUGUGUUUUCCCAUACCACACCUCCUGUUUCCUCCAGCUUUUACCGCAUCGCAGAGGGUCUAUUACAAAACCCAACACGGAUUACGGAUCUUGUCCGUAACACAUCCUCUUUCACUGCCAUCUUUUGGUGUGCUCUGUUAUUAGAAACAUCCACCAAAAUGCAGACAUGGUGUAUGAGUGUGUUGCCUUAUUUUAUCCCAAAAUAUUUACACUGCUUGGCAUCCUACAGUAUCUAUGGCCUCAGUCUUGCUCUGCAUUGCUUCAUGUGCAUAUUUCCUCUUACAUGAGCAUUGUUAAUAAUAUUUUCUGCUGUGUGCUUGCAGUGUUACCCUAUUACUUGUGGCUGAAAAGCAUCCGAGUGACGUAAAAAGCAAGCCAAUUCUACAAAUUCAGAUAUGUGAGAUUCUACGUUACAUAUUUUUUGCACUUGUAAAUGUCUUUAUUAUUAAAGUAUUACACUAGAUAACAGAUUUAUUGUAUAGAAUAUAUUCAAUGUUGUAAAUUGUAUUUGCAGUCCCUAAUGUAAUGUGUUAUGUUUUGUUGUUUUAGUAUAACCCAUUGUAUACAUAAAAGUACAGAAUCAGCAUGGUUUCCAAAAAUUGUAUCAGCAUAUGCUAACAGACAAAUGGGCAAGGAGAAAAUAUAAAUUAUUGUAUGAAUGGGACAAGGCAUGUGUGAUAAAUUUUUAAAAUUCAUUUAAUAUCGGUACACUUAAUAAGUGACCAUUUCUAACCUAUAUAAUUCAUUAAAAAGGUCCACAUCUCUAGGAGUGGGGAUAUUAAUAAUAUAUUUUUAAAGGU